RNAcentral lists this long non-coding RNA (425 nucleotides) under Homo sapiens (human). RNAcentral describes it as "HSALNT0387924". Lineage: Eukaryota; Metazoa; Chordata; Mammalia; Primates; Hominidae. The record is from RNAcentral.
UUGGUCUCAAAUUCCUAGGCUCAAGUGAUUCCGCCCACCUCUGCCUCCCAAAGUGCUGGGAUUACGGGCAUGAGCCAGCGCAUCUGGCCACCUUAUUUUCUAUUACUGGCUCAAUGUAAUGGCUCCAUCUCAGGAACAGCCAAUGAAAGAGAUGCACAGGACAAGGCUGAUCUCUAACUCUUGGCCUCAAGCAAUCCUUCCUCUUUGGCCUCCCAAAAUGUUGGGAUUACAGAUGGGAGCCCCCAUACCCACCAAUCACAAGGAUCUUUAUAAGAGAAUGAGGUAGGAGAGUCAGAAUUAGAGAAAGUGAUGUGGUAAUGGAAGAAGAGGUCAGAGAGGGAGAUUUGAAGAUGCUGCACUUCUGGCCUUGAAUAUGGAGUCACGAGAGACAGCGUCUUGCUCUGUUGCUUAGGCUACAGUACAGU